This 1494-nucleotide ribosomal RNA is filed under the name Triticum aestivum (bread wheat). RNAcentral's name for it is "partial small subunit ribosomal RNA". The record is from RNAcentral. Lineage: Eukaryota; Viridiplantae; Streptophyta; Magnoliopsida; Poales; Poaceae.
AUGGGCGACGCUGCCAACGCCUCCCGUCGGCGUCGGCUGGCCUCAAUUCUCCUCUCCCGGAAACCGCGCCUCAGCGACAGCAGGAACGAGACCACGGCCACAGCCGAAUCCAAGGAUGGCUUCACCAUGGCGGUCUCCUUCUGGAUGGCCGACCCACCGCAGCUGUCCAUCUUCUCCGUCCACUGCUGCAGACCCGCUCACUUCCAAGACGGGCCGUACUGCAAUUUCAAAGAUUUGCCACACGUGGUCGGCGUCGGCGCGGAGGGCCGUCUCGUCCUCAUCCGCGCCGUCUUCGACCGCCGCUACACAUCCGAAUAUUUCCUCUACAAGGCCGGCGAGUCACCAUUGCUCGACCCGAUUCUUCCUCCCUACCAUUAUGUUCAUGGCGACCGCGAUGAUCUGCGGGGGGUCAGGGAGUUCGGCGUCCUGCAGCUCGGCACCCACUAUAUCGUGGCCGCUCUCUGCCUGGACCCUUUGUCGGAUGACUAUCGCCUUCGGAUCUACUCGUCCGAGAGAAAAUCGUGGAGCACCAGGACCCUGCCCAAUCCAUGUCCUGGGGUCGACAGGAUUGUGCCCGACAAGGUGAUCGCUCUUGGAGAAGAAGGCCUACUAGGGUGGGUUGAUUUGUCACAGGGCCUGCUCAUGUGCGACCUGCGUCAAGAAGAUCAGGUGCAUCUCACUUUCAUCCCGCUGCCGGAGCUGUUGCCUGGGAACAGAUACAAACUAAAAGGUCCCAUUCCCCCUCCCACCGCAGACGCAGAGAGAAGCAAAAAACUAGAAGGCGAAUCUCACCCAAAUCUCUGGUGGUUUCGGGAUCUCGCAUGGGUUGAUGGCGUGCUCAAGUUUAUUGAGAUGGAGAAUCUUGCUCCUCGUGAAAGCCGGAGCAGCGACAGGGAUGAUGUUAUCUACGAUUCAAACUUGAUCAUGUCGCUCGAGCGCAAAGCCGUGGAUUGGCAUUGCAAGCAGCCGUCCUUUGGGGGUGCCUGGAGGGCUGUCACAUGGACUCGGACAGUUUCGUCCAACUGUUGGCGCCAGACAUGCGCUGCCAAUGUCGCUGACAUCUUGGUUGUCGACGGAUCAGCGCAUUCAUCUUUGUUGCCCGGGCUAAAGGGAGAAAAGUUGACAUUCAGGGACCUCUACUCAGCUUUCCCCAUCCUGAGUCCGGAUUGUGACGAUAUUCUUUAUCUCAAAUCUAUGGUGGAACCCAGUAAUAAGGAUGGAUGUGUGGCCGCUCUUGACUUAGGAAACAAGGCUGUGAAAGCAGUUGGCAAGUAUUAUCUUCCGGAUGAUUUUUAUUACCACUUUCGCCAUGACCCUGAACAUCCUUUCCGUGUCUGUACAUUGUCCCGCCACACCUAUGCAAUGCUGACAAUCCUUAUCUACUUAGUUAUUAGUAUUACUACUCCCUCCGGUCUUAACUUUGUAAAGAUUUUCCAUAUAAUAUGGUCAAACUUUACGAAGUUUGACUUCAGACAAAUCUUAUAUGCGGAGUAA